GGUCUGGUGUCGAAAUUGGCAAACGAAGUAGACUCAAAAUCUACCGAUAUCACUAUCUUGUGGGUUCAAGUCCCACCCGGACCACCA
RNAcentral lists this transfer RNA (87 nucleotides) under Mycoplasmataceae bacterium. Its description in RNAcentral is "tRNA-Leu". It matches the Rfam family "tRNA". Rfam says of the family: Transfer RNA (tRNA) molecules are approximately 80 nucleotides in length. Their secondary structure includes four short double-helical elements and three loops (D, anti-codon, and T loops). Lineage: Bacteria; Bacillati; Mycoplasmatota; Mollicutes; Mycoplasmatales; Mycoplasmataceae. The record is from RNAcentral.